RNAcentral lists this ribosomal RNA (274 nucleotides) under uncultured bacterium. RNAcentral's name for it is "partial 16S ribosomal RNA". It matches the Rfam family "Archaeal small subunit ribosomal RNA", at positions 473 to 747 of the family's 1478-position model. The record is from RNAcentral.
AAACCAGCACCUCAAGUGGUCAGGAUGAUUAUUGGGCCUAAAGCAUCCGUAGCCGGCUCUGUAAGUUUUCGGUUAAAUCUGUACGCUCAACGUACAGGCUGCCGGGAAUACUGCAGAGCUAGGGAGUGGGAGAGGUAGACGGUACUCGGGAGGAAGUGGUAAAAUGCUUUGAUCUCUCGAUGACCACCUGUGGCGAAGGCGGUCUACCAGAACACGUCCGACGGUGAGGGAUGAAAGCUGGGGGAGCAAACCGGAUUAGAAACCCUAGUAGUCC